Molecule: ribosomal RNA, 323 nt
Filed under: uncultured eukaryote
Lineage: Eukaryota
Description: partial 18S ribosomal RNA
Rfam family: Eukaryotic small subunit ribosomal RNA
Source: RNAcentral
CCCUUAGAUGUUCUGGGCCGCACGCGCGCUACACUGAUGCAUGCAACGAGUUCUAUCCUUGGCCGGAAGGCCUGGGUAAUCUGUGAACGUGCAUCGUGAUAGGGAUAGAUUAUUGCAAUUAUUAAUCUUGAACGAGGAAUUCCUAGUAAACGCAAGUCAUCAGCUUGCAUUGAUUACGUCCCUGCCCUUUGUACACACCGCCCGUCGCACCUACCGAUCGAAGGUAAUGAUGAGCCCUCAGGAUUGUGGCCUCGUCGCGUCAGCGUCUUGGCUGCGAGAAUCUGUGUAAAUCCCUACCUUUAGAGGAAGGUGAAGUCGUAACA